GGCGGGGACUCUGUGGUGGAGCCGGUGGCCUCUGGACCCCCGGGUCUCGGCUCCUGCGCUCUAGCUGUGGCCACGGGCACGGUGCCAUCCUCACCUCUCCGUCUGCAGCCUGAAGACGAUGACUUCUUAGUGUUGUGGACUAGCCUGUGAGCAAGGACGCAGAAGAUGAAUUAUCAAGAAUGAUUCAAAGGACCUGAAAGGAAACUUCCAAACCUUAGAAGGUUACAAUAUAACAGCCCUGGGCAUAGGUUGCCCUAAUAAUGUCUUCCAAACUAAGUCCAGUGCAAGAAACUUUAUUUCACUUCCUAAAGAGAGAUUGAGGAAAGGAGAGAGAGAAAAACAGAGGUGGUGCUGGAGCAGCGAGCCUCCUUCACAUCCCCACUGGGGAUCGAGCCUGCAACCCGACAUGUGCUCUGAUCCGGAAUCAAACUAGUGACCUUUUGGUGCAUGGGACUAAGCUCAACCAACUGUGCCACACUGGCCAGGGCUCAGCCUUCUCUUUUAUGGUGAGUUCUGUUUGGAAAUCUUUGCAAUCAUGAUACUAUCCUCCUAUGCUUUCUUCUAGAAGCUUUUCUUUUCUCUUUCACAUUUAGGUCUAUGAUCCACCUCAAAUGCAUGCAUUUCUUUAAAAAAAAAACACAACUCAAAAUUCAGUUUUUCAGAGACUCGCUCAUUCAUUCAUUCAUUCAUUCUAUCAAUCACUUAUUCAUUUAACAGAAUUUUUAGUCACCUAUCAUAAACCAGGCAAUUGUGGGAGAACAAAAGCAAUUAGAGUCAACAUGUAAGGCACUUGUUGGCCAGCAGGGGAAAGGGUGAGACUUGCACUUAAACAACAUCUAGAAAGUAGUAAUUUAGUUGGAAAAUAUGAGAUGGCCUAAUUAUUCAGAUGUGCUGCCCAGAGUCAUUUUCUCUUUGAACACAGGCAGAUAGAUUACAUUUCCUACAUGCCAGUGAUCCUGUCUUUCUCAUCCUUCAUUGGCCCCCAUGUCCUCCAAGUAAAAGUCGUAGUCCCUGUGCUUGGUACAUGAGGUGUCCCACCAUCUGGCCCCUCCUCACUCCUGACCCUCAUCUUCUAGACCCCUCCAUCUCCAUCCCACAGCCUCUGCACAGACACCUGAACUCCUGACCAGAGCGAGCUGUUCAUCCUGCCAGCUCUUUGUCUCUGCUUUCCUUCUGCCUGGAUUCCUCCCAUGACACUGAUGUCUGAAUAUCUGCUCACUGCUCCAGCACCACCUCUGUGAAGCCUCCCCUGGUUCCUUUCUGCCUCAUUGUUUGUGCCUUGAAGUCUACCUCUGGAGCCAGACUGCAUUUCUCAUGGUGACCAAGACACGGAAACAACCAACGUGUCCUGUGAUAGAGGACUGGAUGAGGAAGAUGUGGUUCAUAUACACAAUGGAAUUCUACUCAGCUAUUAGAAAGGAUGAAAUAGCGCCAUUUGCAACAACAUGGAUGGACUUUGAAAACACUACGCUAAGUGAAAUAAAGCUUCCUGGUCACGUACUCCACCCACCUGGAGCAUAACAAGGAAGGCUCGAGGAUAGGAUGGACUGUCUUGUGGUGCUUUGAAGAAAGGCGCAUGCGUCUUAGCUCCUGCGGCAUUUUGAGCUCGUUACCCUGGCCUGUGUAUGAAGUGCGAUGGAAUUAAGGUACAAGAAAAGUCAGAUAUCAUGGGAACUGACCUUUGGUGCUUUUGAAACUGAGAAAAAAGGAUUUGUUGUGCCAAGCUUCCUCAUCAGUCUGGUAUUUCACCUCUCAUCUUAAACAAGGUAAACAAACCACCACGGACAUAUUUUUCUUCCCCGCAGAACUGCACCCUUUUCAUGAUUAGGUCUGGGUGCUGUUUGGCAAUGGGAAUUGAGUAGAAUGGAGGUGGGGAAGCAUUUUUUCAUUCCGCCCUCUUCUCAAAUAUUUAAAGUAGAAUAACGAGUAGGUGAGUGACUAUCAUUGUCACAACCCUUUUCCACUCCUGCCACCUGAAUACGGACAUCAAUCACCCUUUUCUUCGGCCACCACAGAUGGCAUUUCCUGAUGUGCCCUGCAAGACCGGAGGUGCCGAGACCUCUGGGGGAGAGUCUGAGGAAGAUGGGAUGGUCUUCAUUCUGUCAUCUUUAGGGUCCGGGUUUUUUUUUUUUAUGAGAUCUGUAAGCUUUGCAUGAAAUGGGAGGACAGAAGAGGUUCUGAGGGACCAAUAGGGGAAGAGCUAGGCUAGAGAUCACAGAUGGCAGGAACCUGCAUGGGAAUUUUGUGUGUUGUCAUUGGGGUCCAUGUGAACUGUCUUCCUCAUCUUCCCAGGAGAUCCUCAGUAAAAUAAAUAUCCAUUUCUUGUUGGUACAUUAUUGAGUUGAAUCUGUUUGUUGAGGGAAUUCAUUCAUUCAACAGAUAUUUAUUGAGAACCUGAACCUGCCUGCAGUGUUCUAGAUGCUGAGGAUAAAGUAGUGAGUAAAACAUACCCAAC
Long non-coding RNA from Myotis myotis, 2455 nucleotides. RefSeq lists it as uncharacterized. The record is from RefSeq and is a predicted model, not a curated record. The transcript is spliced from 5 exons. Lineage: Eukaryota; Metazoa; Chordata; Mammalia; Chiroptera; Vespertilionidae.